GAUGAACGCUGGCGGCGUGCCUAAUACAUGCAAGUCGAGCGAACGGACGAGAAGCUUGCUUCUCUGAUGUUAGCGGCGGACGGGUGAGUAACACGUGGAUAACCUACCUAUAAGACUGGGAUAACUUCGGGAAACCGGAGCUAAUACCGGAUAAUAUUUUGAACCGCAUGGUUCAAAAGUGAAAGACGGUCUUGCUGUCACUUAUAGAUGGAUCCGCGCUGCAUUAGCUAGUUGGUAAGGUAACGGCUUACCAAGGCAACGAUGCAUAGCCGACCUGAGAGGGUGAUCGGCCACACUGGAACUGAGACACGGUCCAGACUCCUACGGGAGGCAGCAGUAGGGAAUCUUCCGCAAUGGGCGAAAGCCUGACGGAGCAACGCCGCGUGAGUGAUGAAGGUCCUCGGAUCGUAAAACUCUGUUAUUAGGGAAGAACAUAUGUGUAGGUAACUGUGCACAUCUUGACGGUACCUAAUCAGAAAGCCACGGCUAACUACGUG
RNAcentral lists this ribosomal RNA (497 nucleotides) under uncultured bacterium. Its description in RNAcentral is "partial 16S ribosomal RNA". It matches the Rfam family "Bacterial small subunit ribosomal RNA", at positions 28 to 507 of the family's 1533-position model. The record is from RNAcentral.